This 1234-nucleotide ribosomal RNA is filed under the name Weissella paramesenteroides. RNAcentral describes it as "bacterial SSU rRNA". It matches the Rfam family "Bacterial small subunit ribosomal RNA", at positions 26 to 1222 of the family's 1533-position model. The record is from RNAcentral. Lineage: Bacteria; Bacillati; Bacillota; Bacilli; Lactobacillales; Lactobacillaceae.
GGGGGAGUGCGGCGUGCCUAUACAUGCAGUCGAACGCUUUGUCUUUAAUUGAUCUGACGAGCUUGCUCUGAUUUGAUUUUAUCUGACAAAGAGUGGCGAACGGGUGAGUAACACGUGGGUAACCUACCUCUUAGCAGGGGAUAACAUUUGGAAACAAGUGCUAAUACCGUAUAAUACCAACAACCGCAUGGUUGUUGGUUGAAAGAUGGUUCUGCUAUCACUAAGAGAUGGACCCGCGGUGCAUUAGCUAGUUGGUAAGGUAACGGCUUACCAAGGCAAUGAUGCAUAGCCGAGUUGAGAGACUGAUCGGCCACAAUGGGACUGAGACACGGCCCAUACUCCUACGGGAGGCAGCAGUAGGGAAUCUUCCACAAUGGGCGCAAGCCUGAUGGAGCAACGCCGCGUGUGUGAUGAAGGGUUUCGGCUCGUAAAACACUGUUAUAAGAGAAGAACGGCACUGAGAGUAACUGUUCAGUGUGUGACGGUAUCUUACCAGAAAGGAACGGCUAAAUACGUGCCAGCAGCCGCGGUAAUACGUAUGUUCCAAGCGUUAUCCGGAUUUAUUGGGCGUAAAGCGAGCGCAGACGGUUAUUUAAGUCUGAAGUGAAAGCCCUCAGCUCAACUGAGGAAUGGCUUUGGAAACUGGAUGACUUGAGUGCAGUAGAGGAAAGUGGAACUCCAUGUGUAGCGGUGAAAUGCGUAGAUAUAUGGAAGAACACCAGUGGCGAAGGCGGCUUUCUGGACUGUAACUGACGUUGAGGCUCGAAAGUGUGGGUAGCAAACAGGAUUAGAUACCCUGGUAGUCCACACCGUAAACGAUGAGUGCUAGAUGUUCGAGGGUUUCCGCCCUUGAGUGUCGCAGCUAACGCAUUAAGCACUCCGCCUGGGGAGUACGACCGCAAGGUUGAAACUCAAAGGAAUUGACGGGGACCCGCACAAGCGGUGGAGCAUGUGGUUUAAUUCGAAGCAACGCGAAGAACCUUACCAGGUCUUGACAUCCCUUGCUAAUCCUAGAAAUAGGACGUUCCCUUCGGGGACAAGGUGACAGGUGGUGCAUGGUUGUCGUCAGCUCGUGUCGUGAGAUGUUGGGUUAAGUCCCGCAACGAGCGCAACCCUUAUUAUUAGUUGCCAGCAUUCAGUUGGGCACUCUAGUGAGACUGCCGGUGACAAACCGGAGGAAAGGGGGGGGAUGACGUCAAAUCAUCAUGCCCCUUAUGACCUGGGGCUACACACG